This 350-nucleotide transfer-messenger RNA is filed under the name chicken gut metagenome. It matches the Rfam family "transfer-messenger RNA". From Rfam's summary of the family: Bacterial tmRNA, also known as 10Sa RNA or SsrA, is named for its dual tRNA and mRNA-like properties. Its role is to liberate the mRNA from a stalled ribosome. The record is from RNAcentral.
GGGGAUGAAUUAGUUUCGACUGAUAUAAACCUAAAUUAUACGCACGUCGUGUGGUGGCACGCAAAAUACACGGUUCGUUAAGACGAAUUAAAAUAAACGCAAACCAAAAUAAAUUAGCUUACGCUGCUUAAGCGUGGCCGUCAGUUUAGCGGUACCGAUACGCUAAAACCUGGCGUCAGAUAUCGGUGAACUUCAUCAUGCAUUUCCUAGUGUAUGAUGAGGACAAUUAGGAUAGCAAUCCUUCAGUGUCAAUGUUAAUGAAUGAUUGUGAAUAUAGUCAUUGACUAAACGUGUAGUGUAUGGUUUAUAUUUAUGUUAGGACACGAGUGCAACUCUCGUCAUCUCCACCA